UGCAAGUCGAACGAUGAAGCCCUGCUUGCGGGGUGGAUUAGUGGCGAACGGGUGAGUAACACGUGAGCAACCUGCCCCUGACUCUGGGAUAACAGCCGGAAACGGUUGCUAAUACCGGAUAUGCAUCAUAGCCGCAUGGUUUGUGGUGGGAAAGAUUUUUCGGUUGGGGAUGGGCUCGCGGCCUAUCAGCUUGUUGGUGAGGUAGUGGCUCACCAAGGCGUCGACGGGUAGCCGGCCUGAGAGGGUGACCGGCCACACUGGGACUGAGACACGGCCCAGACUCCUACGGGAGGCAGCAGUGGGGAAUAUUGCACAAUGGGCGGAAGCCUGAUGCAGCAACGCCGCGUGAGGGAUGACGGCCUUCGGGUUGUAAACCUCUUUUAGCAGGGAAGAAGCGUGAGUGACGGUACCUGCAGAAAAAGCGCCGGCUAACUACGUGCCAGCAGCCGCGGUAAUACGUAGGGCGCAAGCGUUAUCCGGAAUUAUUGGGCGUAAAGAGCUCGUAGGCGGUUUGUCGCGUCUGCUGUGAAAUCUGGAGGCUCAACCUCCAGCCUGCAGUGGGUACGGGCAGACUAGAGUGCGGUAGGGGAGAUUGGAAUUCCUGGUGUAGCGGUGGAAUGCGCAGAUAUCAGGAGGAACACCGAUGGCGAAGGCAGAUCUCUGGGCCGUAACUGACGCUGAGGAGCGAAAGGGUGGGGAGCAAACAGGCUUAGAUACCCUGGUAGUCCACCCCGUAAACGUUGGGAACUAGUUGUGGGGGCCUUUCCACGGUCUCCGUGACGCAGCUAACGCAUUAAGUUCCCCGCCUGGGGAGUACGGCCGCAAGGCUAAAACUCAAAGGAAUUGACGGGGACCCGCACAAGCGGCGGAGCAUGCGGAUUAAUUCGAUGCAACGCGAAGAACCUUACCAAGGCUUGACAUAUACGGGAACGCCGCAGAAAUGUGGUUCUCUUUGGACACUCGUAUAC
RNAcentral lists this ribosomal RNA (968 nucleotides) under Microbacterium barkeri. RNAcentral's name for it is "bacterial SSU rRNA". It matches the Rfam family "Bacterial small subunit ribosomal RNA", at positions 56 to 1035 of the family's 1533-position model. The record is from RNAcentral. Lineage: Bacteria; Bacillati; Actinomycetota; Actinomycetes; Micrococcales; Microbacteriaceae.